GAUGAAGAACGCAGCGAAAUGCGAUAAGUAAUGCGAAUUGCAGAAUCCGUGAGUCAUCGAAUCUUUGAACGCACAUUGCGCCCGCCAGUAUUCUGGCGGGCAUGCCUGUUCGAGCGUCAUUUCAACCCUCAGGCCCCGCCUGGCGUUGGGGAUCGGCGCGGCCCUCUCCGGGCUGCCGGCCCCGAAAACUAGUGGCGGUCUCGCUGUAGUCCUCCUCUGCGCAGUAGCAACGCUCGCACUGGAACUCGGCGCGGCCACGCCGUAAAACACCCCACUUCUGAAAGUUGACCUCGGAUCAGGUAGGAAUACCCGCUGAACUUAAGCAUAUCAAUAAGCGGAGGA
Molecule: unclassified non-coding RNA, 342 nt
Filed under: soil metagenome
Description: partial contains 5.8S ribosomal RNA, internal transcribed spacer 2, and large subunit ribosomal RNA
Rfam family: 5.8S ribosomal RNA (bases 1-119)
Source: RNAcentral